Molecule: long non-coding RNA, 1074 nt
Organism: Anguilla rostrata (American eel)
Lineage: Eukaryota; Metazoa; Chordata; Actinopteri; Anguilliformes; Anguillidae
Exons: 5
Source: RefSeq, a predicted model, not a curated record
UGGUUUGAGCUAUUUGUAGAUAAUUCAAUUUAACGUUUACAGAAUGCCUCUAUGUUUGCUUAUUAGAAGCCAGCAUAUUGAGUGAAGUGCUACCUAGGGGAAUAACAUUAAUUUAAUUAAGAAAUUUUCCCAGCUUUACAAGCUACUUCACCAGGGGAAAGAAUGCUGCUGCAUGCUUUCUGUCAUAUAUGGGCCCCGUGUGGCAAGCAUUGUGGGGCUGACUAUGCCCUGAUACUGCCUGUUUGGGGACACAGUCACCACAGCCUCCCGGAUGGAAUCCACAGGCCUGUCAUACCGCAUACACACCAGCCGCAGCUCUGUGAAAAUCCUACUGGAGCUGAAGGCAGGAUACCAAGUCCAGUGGACAGAGAGGACAGAAAUGAAGGGGAAAGAUUUGGAGGAGACAUACUGGCUAAUAGUCCGGACCGGCUUCACCAAGUCUUUACCAGUGCCACCGGAGCUCAAGUCAGGGCAAAUUGCGUAUGGCUUACAGAUGGGGGAAAAUAGCCCAAUUCAAGAGGCGGAAAGCAGAAAAACAACAACCUGCCAAGAAGAAUAACUCAGGCAAUGUUAUGCAUGGAAAAUGUAUAACAUUUCUUACUGUUUAUGCUUCUAACAUUGCCCGGUGAAGAUUUUUUCCAUUUGCUCUCCAAGGACUCCUCAAGUCCUUCUCUAUUUGAAGGCACCGGACUGCUUAAUAAUCUCGUACCUCAUUCUGUGUUAUUGAGCAGCUGAACAGCCUUGUCAUUCAAAUUUUUUUUUUAAUGGCAUAUCUGCAAAUGUACACUGGCUCUAGGCGGAACACAGGUUCUGAAGAAUUUUCUGUGGCUUUUUGAAAGUGAAUUUAAUAUUCAAACAUAUAAGAAUGCAUAUUUAAGAAUGUAAGGACAUAAGAAAACAGUCUUAGAGAAUGAAAAAUUGUUUUUAAAAAUUCUGUGAACCAUCAGAGAGAAUGUCAAUGAAAUGAAUCCCCUCAUUUAAAAAUGCUGAAUUGAAGGUAAUCUACAUGACAAAUGGAAUCUGCACUUUCGAAUAAUAAAAAAUCUAUGAGGAUGCCAGUCAUGAACCACUUUA